GAAUCGGAGGAAGAGGAGGAGAUGGAGAGCGGCGACGAGGCGAUCCGAUGACCCCUCGCUCGACCCCCGCCGCCGACAGUGCCAGUGGGUGAAGAGGCGAUCGAGGACGCCGCGCAGCGCGGGGGCGCCUGAGGCCGGGAUCUCCGGCGGCACGUCCGCGGUCGUGGGCCCCGGGAUGGAUCCGGAUGGGGACGACUGCGGUGGCGGGCCGUAGCAGGAUCUGCAGGAGCUCGCAUGGAGGAGGGUCAAUGGUGGCGGCGUGCCGCCUAGAGGAGUAUGUCGACAUCCGCUGGGGCUCUCUGGCAGCGGCAGGAGUAGGGACUGACUCCAAACCUCCCUCCGCCACCACGACCACUGCUCCCGAGCCUCACAUCCCAACAUCAGCUAGGAUUAUCUUUUAUUUCUACUUCAGCCUAUGGUAGUUUGUGGGAGCGGUUGCAGAUUUCCAAGGAUGAUCAGUUUUCUACAGGCAAGAUCCCAUUCUUGGUUGAGGUUUCUUAAACUAUAGCUUCAUCAUUCAUGUUGUUGUUUCCCAUUUAUACAUGUCUUGUCAGCCUUGCUGGUUCUGUUGGUUAUCUUCCUUGCAGCCUAUGGAAGUUUGUGGGAGCGGUUGCAGAUUUCCAAGGAAGAGCAGUUUGCUACAAGAAAGAUCCCAUUCUUGGGAGCAUCACGGCGUAUGUUCUGCUGGGUAGUAGAUACACGGCUUGAGGAUUCAUGUCCGGGCACCUAUCCUGCCUGUUAUGUGCAACCAUAGGAUUUCAUAUAUUUCCCUUGAGGAGGGCUGCAGCAGGAGUGUGCAAAUCUGCAAGGCUGUGCACGAGCUCGAGGAUGGCGCCGAUGGGUCAGCCAACUCCCGCGGCAGAUAUUUCUUGGAUGGGCUCUGUGGAUUUUGUGUUCUGCUACUGCCAGGUUCAAAUGGGAGUUGAGAGUACCAUGUGCGGCGUCAACCAAAGUGUGCACUUUUUCUUUGUUCUUAAGAAAUCAAUUGUAGUGGUGCAAGCUCUGGCUCAGAGGAGGUGUUUUGAUGGCCUGUGGCAUAUUUCACCGAGGAGGCUCAUCAGCAUGAGUUCCAGGAGGAAUACAGUGCAAGUGAGCUUUACCUGGCAAGUUCAUGAGCAAGAAAAUAUGGUUUGAGAAUAUACCUUUCACGUUGAAGAGGCGGUGCCAUCUAGUUGCCGGUAACUGCGUGUUGAAUCUUCUGCUGGAUGCCAUAUGUCCGAUAAAAUGCCUGGGAGAAGCACCACUAGCACGGUUGAUCUAUGUUCAUAAUGCAUGGGUGUCCAAGGCUAUGUUCCUACUUUGGCUCAUUGGCAGCUUCACAUAUCGUCUUUACAAUCAGGCUAUUAACUGCUUACUUCUCCAAGUUCAGUCCAUGGUGCAGAAACUGAAAAGUUAUUUAGUUAGUUUUAAUGGAUAGAAACCAUAUGUCCAGUGCAUUCUCUAUAAAACUAGGUCAAGUAAUAAUGUCUCAUGUUGCGUUGUUUCAGUUCCUGAGGGUCCUGGAGAGGGAGCUAGCUGUAACUGCGAAGACCAAAGAGGCUUUCUUUGCAGACUUCACCCAGCCUUGGUCAAACCUUGCAGGGAAUGUUUGGCGCUGAUUUCACGUUACGACAGGUAAUUAGAUUAUUGAAACUUCAUGGGGGUAGAAAUUUGUAGAAUGGGUAGUUACGCAAAUCUCAGCUUUUCUUUGUACUUUCUCUUCUUCUACGUUACUGAACAGAAAAUGUUGCCUGCCUAAGGUGCGUCUUAGCUUCCAAAUACAAGAUGUGUUUCCAGUUUUAAUGACUCCCGUCACAUAGUACUUCUCUAAAUAUCUUUAGGAGCUCGGAAGUAAAGAGUAUAAAUUAAGACCAUGGAGCGCAAUGUUGAUUAGAAUUAUUAAAAUUUCUAUAGCUUUGAGGACUGACAGAAUGAUAUGGCUGGGUGUUUGGAACCUUGAUUGGUAUGUUUGAUUCCAAUAUGUACUUAUUUUCGUGUCCCUCUCUGUUGCAACAGCUUUCAUGAAACAGUAUUGUUACAAGACUACGAUUUCAGUCUUAUAGAUUAACUAACUGGAGACACCCCUUCUUUAUUUCAUGUUUAUAAGAGAAAAAAUAAUCAUUUCGUCCGUCCGAUCUACCCGUCGGCAAUCUUAAACUAGGUUUCAACCAACUAGAACAAUUUCCCUGUUUCUUACGGAAAUUAUACUCUUUCUGUAUUCCCCUUUUCACACAAUAAAUGUGAUUUGUAUGCAAAUAUUUUCUCGAAACAAAAAUUAGUUACAACAAGGUUCUCAAUGAAGCCAAUUUAAGGGAUAAUGAUGCAAAUAUGAGAUGAAUUUUGCACUCACUUCAUGGUAGACAAUUCCAAAGUAUUGCAUGUUCUCAGCUAGGCCUCAUGUUCCAAUCAAUCCAGAGUUACUUUUGCAGGGAAGAGGUUGCACUAUUUUGCUUGCUGGUACCUCUGUUUUUCAGCUGCAGCCCCGCAGGUCGUUCGUCCUCAAUCCAUUGUACAAAAAGUAAUUUACAUAAUUCAUGGACAGUGUAACUCUGCAGCAUUUUUGGUAUCGUUCGUGGCACUUAAGUUCUUUCGACAUGAUAUAUGCAGGUUCCCGAUUUGGAUUGUCAGCGCACAUUAAAAUUCAGCUGGCAACGAAGAUGUUAAUAACAUAUUUCAUCGACAUGCCAAGUUGAAGGAGAAGAGAGCCAAACCCUCAGCUCCUUAGGUUUCUUGAUACGAAUUUCUUUCUUCAUACCAUGGCGCAGUUGGACUUUAUGUACUGUUGUAUCAUGUUAAUAGAUCUUCAGUGAUUCGUGGUGGAACAUACUGCUAUAUAAUAGGUCAAGACAUCAUUUCCAAAUACAGAGCUGUCCAUCCAAAUUUGUGCAUCUAGCCAAGCAAUUCUUGAUGUUGCUUUGAGCUAGCUGUAUGGUUCAGAGAUGGUUCUUCAUUUCGGCUUCUCUUCAUUUGUGGCUUAUACUGGCUGCUUCUUUCAGAGCUUAUGUGUUCCCUCCUUUCUAACUCCCCGAUCCAUCGAGUAUUCAUAAGUCGUUGUUUGCAAGUUGCAGAUCAACCAGAAAGCCUUUGCGCAACCCAACGACGGCUAUAGUGCUGCUUUUCAUCUUGUACAUGAAGUUAGCCUGUUCUUCUGGAUGUUCCCGCACUAGCUUCUGGCCAUGCUACCUUAUAAUAUGCAAUUAGCAAUAUCCACCAAGUGAUUGAGGUGCCACAUGUUUGCUUUUGUAUGCGUCUUAGGUUAAUUAUUUUAUCUAAGAACUUCAAAUCGAAGACUCCAAGUAGCAUGUUUAUGUAGCACCCAGACAAUGCUUCUAUCUAACAACUUCGAAUCAAAAUAUCCAAAUUGUUUCUUCUGUUGCAUGAAGCUGGUAAUGUAAUUUGUGCAUUUAAGCACCAUAUCUUUCAUA
Lolium perenne is the source of this 3404-nucleotide non-coding RNA. The record is from RefSeq and is a predicted model, not a curated record. Lineage: Eukaryota; Viridiplantae; Streptophyta; Magnoliopsida; Poales; Poaceae.